AAACACUUGUACAGUGAAGCAUACAAUACUGUACAAUUACUGACAUAGGCAUGUGCUAUUCAGGUGUCAAAGGUGUGCGAAACUGGAGGGAGAAACUUGAGAGACCGUGCCGGAAGAAUGCUGGACAGAGUUCACUAAAAUUCAUUAAUUUCAAAGUUCAACAUGAAUGGUGGUGGUCCACUGCAGAAGCAAGCAUUUGAAAAAACAUCAGUUCUCAGUUAUUAAAGAUGCUGUGUUGAACAACUUCCCAGCAGCAACAGAACUGGAAGUGAAGGAUGCAAUGGGGGCAUUUCAAACAGGCACCAGGGAGCACGGGGGGGGG
Paramisgurnus dabryanus is the source of this 322-nucleotide long non-coding RNA. RefSeq lists it as uncharacterized. The record is from RefSeq and is a predicted model, not a curated record. NCBI's taxonomy places the organism in Eukaryota, Metazoa, Chordata, Actinopteri, Cypriniformes, Cobitidae.